AUUGAACGCUGGCGGCAUGCCUUACACAUGCAAGUCGAACGGCAGCACGGGGCAACCUGGUGGCGAGUGGCGAACGGGUGAGUAAUGCAUCGGAACGUGCCAUUGAGUGGGGGAUAACGUAGCGAAAGUUGCGCUAAUACCGCAUAUUCUGUGAGCAGGAAAGCAGGGGACCGCAAGGCCUUGCGCUCUUUGAGCGGCCGAUGUCGGAUUAGCUAGUUGGUGAGGUAAAGGCUUACCAAGGCGACGAUCUGUAGCGGGUCUGAGAGGAUGAUCCGCCACACUGGAACUGAGACACGGUCCAGACUCCUACGGGAGGCAGCAGUGGGGAAUUUUGGACAAUGGGCGCAAGCCUGAUCCAGCCAUGCCGCGUGAGUGAAGAAGGCC
This 384-nucleotide ribosomal RNA is filed under the name uncultured bacterium. RNAcentral describes it as "bacterial SSU rRNA". It matches the Rfam family "Bacterial small subunit ribosomal RNA", at positions 30 to 416 of the family's 1533-position model. The record is from RNAcentral.